RNAcentral lists this ribosomal RNA (292 nucleotides) under uncultured bacterium. RNAcentral's name for it is "partial 16S ribosomal RNA". It matches the Rfam family "Bacterial small subunit ribosomal RNA", at positions 505 to 796 of the family's 1533-position model. The record is from RNAcentral.
GUGCCAGCAGCCGCGGUAAUACGGAGGAUGCAAGCGUUAUCCGGAAUGAUUGGGCGUAAAGGGUCCGCAGGUGGCAAUGUAAGUCUGCUGUUAAAGAGUCACGCUCAACGUGAUCAGAGCAGUGGAAACUACAUAGCUAGAGUAUGGUUGGGGCAGAAGGAAUUCCUGGUGUAGCGGUGAAAUGCGUAGAUAUCAGGAAGAACACCGGUGGCGAAAGCGUUCUGCUAGACCAAAACUGACACUGAGGGACGAAAGCUAGGGGAGCGAAUGGGAUUAGAUACCCCCGUAGUCC